UGUAUAUCGCGGGAGGACCUGUGUGCGUCCACACCCAGAUGGGCAUAUUCGUUUACGAUAAGGACACCUUUCGGAUUGUGACAUAGUAGUGGGAGUUUGUGGCUGUCGAUUGCUAUCAGUGAUCUUUAUUCUCGUGAACUGGCUGUGUCUGAAAUAUUUAUUUUCCUAAACUUUUCUUAAAACGUUAUUUGACUGCACUUAGCAUUGUCCACUAGAUAUCAGCAAUAGAUCUUUUUCUAAAGUGUUCAAGAUGUCGACUGGAAAGCGUUUAGCAAAGCGGUCCAUCCUGGGUACGCGCGUUGCCUGCUGUCUGGAUGAUGGAAAAUAUUACUCGGGAGUUAUAUGUGCGGUAAAGACUGUCAACGAAGGAGGUCCUCCAGUGUACUCUGUGAGGGUGGAGGGCGAGAGGCGUGCCAGGGAAGUUCGUGAGGGCGACCUGGUAGGCAGUGGCUUCACACCCGUUGGCUCUGUGAAGCUUCGCUCUGGGCAGAAAGUAUACAUAACUCACAAUAAUCGUGAAGUGUCGGGCAGUGUCCUCUACCACAGACCGAACAUCGACGAGGUCCUCAUCUCCGUCAUCAGCCCAGAGAGCGGCGUGAAGCAGGACGUGAAGAAGCGCAUCGAGGACAUCCGGCUGCUGGAGUCGAGGAAGUCGGCGCGCCUGGCCGACCAGGACACCGACUUCGCCAAGCUGGCCGACAUGUCCACCGACAGGAAGGACCGAAAGCCCUCGCAGACCAUCGACGUGCCCGCGCCCUCGGGGUUCCAGGGGUCGAGGAAGAGGCGCAGCUCGCGCUCGGAGGAGGAGCAGAUGGACGAGUGCGCAGCCGCCAUGGUCCUCAUGAAGCUGUCGUGCUCCCCGCGCUCGCCCGUCAUGCACGAUGGUCUGGUGAGCGAGUCCAUGUCCCCGGGGUCGUCCGUCUCGUCGGGCGUGUGGUCGUGGGUCGAUGGCUCCUCGUCGUCCUCGUCCUCGUCGUCGUCGUCGUCGUCCCGCUCGCCCGCCCACCGCUCCGCCACGCCCUCGCCGCCCCUGUCCGAAUCCUCGCCGCCCGCCACCGACGACGGCCUCGAGCUCGACGAUUCCCUCUUCGACGACGCUGUCCCCAGGAAGCGCAGGAGCUCCACCCGCACCAUGUUCAAGUGCACGUGGGCCGGCUGCCAGGAGAUGACAUCCGCCUGCGAUGCCAUUGAGAGACACAUCCGCGCCAUCCACCUCGGGCGCGAGGAGGUGAGCAGCGAGCACAGCGACAGCGACAGCGACGACGAGGACGACCACGAGGAGGAGUUCUACUGGCGCGAGGUGGAGGUCAACGUGGCCACGUGGGUGGACCCCUGCGAGCCCCUGGUGGCGCCCGUGGUGCCCCCGCCCACCCCGCCUGCGCCCCCUGCCAUGACCGUGACCGUGGCACCAUCGCCGCCCACACCCCCGGCUGCCGUCGCCCAGCCCUUGGGCGUGGGCAUCCCGCCCGGCCCCAUCCAGCCGUCCCACCCACAGUACAUCCACGUGUCGUCGCCGCCCACGCUCAGCCACAUGGACAUGGCGCGCCCGCCCCACGAAGACCCCGAGUACAGACGCCAGGCCGCCCCCAUGCCCCUCUCCAGCUCAUGGCCGCGCACCUCCACGUUCAUGGGUUCCGGACGUGGGAAGAUCCGCGUGAGUUCCUCGCCGAAGGCCUCCCCAGGCCGAGGCAAGAGGAACGGGGAGAGCCGCAAGUGCCGCAAGGUGUACGGCAUGGAGCAGCGAGACCUCUGGUGCACACAGUGCAAGUGGAAAAAGGCGUGCAGUCGUUUCGGGGAGUGAGCCUCCGCGGGAUGUGUACAAAAUGAGUGUGUGCUUAGCUGUGUAGCCUAGAGAGAAGGUGGAGAAAAGAGAAAGAGAAAGAGAGAGAGAGAAGGGGAAAUAUCUUCACUAGAGUCCACAGCUGAAUGAGCAAUUCAGUUCGGGAUAAACAUUUACUAGUGAUUUCCUCGACCGCUGGUUGUGAGGAAAGUGCUUGACACUUGUGGUAGACAGAAAUACUCCUUGCACUUUCAUAACAGAGAGGAAACAAUUUAUGUGUAAGCAUUUCCUUGCAGUCUGAGCAGUCUUACAUACAUAAGUGUAGAAGUAAGAUCACAAAAUAAAGAUGUCAUGAAUGUAGAUUACAAUCUCAUCAUAGGGAAGUCAACCAUUGGAAGCCAGAGAAAAGGGAAGCACAAGAGAGCAGGCUGAACGGCAGGCUCUCCGGGUGCCGCUCGCUCCUUCCGGGAGGAGACGCAGCAAGGGGCCAGCGUUGGUUGCAGGAGCCUCUCCUCUCCUCGGCCGCUCGGUGUUGUGGAUCGCUGUUAGUUGGUAAUGGCAUCUCCAAGGCCUGGUGAAGUGUGAUUUGAUGAGGGCAGAUUUUUAUCACGUUCUUGUGAUAUCUCAAAAGGUGUGUGUAUAUACUUUGUAUGUAUGUCUAUAUUUAUACAUGAAUUUACAUGUAUGUGUGCAUACAUGUACAUCUACAUAAAUAUAUAUACAUUCACAUACAAAUGCAUUUACAUAUAUCUGCUUAUACUUAUAUGUAAAUGCGUUUGCAUCUGUGUGUAUGUACAUAUGUGCGUGCGUGUGCGUGCACUCACACACACACACACGCACACAUGCACGCGUGCACACACACACACACACACACACACACACACACACACACACACACACACACACACACACACACACACACACACACACACACACACACACACACACAUUUAUAUAUAUACACACAUACAUACACACAUACAUAUACAUACAUAUAUAUAUAUAUACACAUACAUACAUACACACAUCUUGUUAAAAAGUUUCAGAAGGUAGAACAUUUUACUACAGAAGUGCUUGAGAUAUUUUUAGAAGGCUUCCAAAAAAUCACAUGGAAAUACAUUGCAAUAACCAAAUCAAGAUCCAGAGCUGGAUUUUGUCAAUGAUGCAAAAACUACUUUCAAACUUUUUCCUAUUGCAGUGUAUUAUAAACAUUAAGUCGAUGGACAUCCAUUGUAUUAUAAUGUGUUUUAGCCAGGGAGAUGUUGUGGAUAGGGAAGCCAUAGGUGAUAAGCUCAUAUAGACUUUCAUGAUAUUUUUAUCCACAAUUUAUACAUUUUUGAUAAGAGCUUUGUAUGAGCAUGAGUGAAGCAAUACUUUUUUCAAGAGGACGAACAUGUCACCUAUGCUUCCAUAUCCUGUUACUACUUGUAAGUUUUAUUUUCAGGUGUAAAGUGUCUGACAAGCAUGAAAUGCAAGCACUUGAAAUGUACAAAAAGAAUCAAGAUAAUUUUAUGAUGCUCAUCCCUCUGUGCAACUAUGAAUUACUGCUGGCAGAAGGCUGGAGAGAGCGCCUUGCAUGCAACCCAAACCGCAUCAGUCAUAUUGAUCAAUGCUAACACUCUCAUGAUAGGGAGAGAAUAUUUGGGGCUUUUAUAAUGAGUCACUGCUGUCAAAGUCUUGAAGUACUUACAUUAUUAAGAGUUUUGUUUUUAGAAAGGUUGCAAAUAUGAGUUUAAGACUUCCAUUGUGGAAGUCUUGCAGAAAGACCCAUGCAAAUCUAUCUAUGCCAGACAUUCAGUCAAAUGUGCUCAAACGUGAUGAUAGCAUAUACCUUUUUUUAAACAAUAGGAACACCAAACUGGAACACAGUGAGGAAAUUCAGGUUCAGAAUUUCAGCCCAGUUUAUUUGAGAGGUUUAGUUGAUAUCAAGGACUUCAUGCUGUUAUAUCUGUUCUCUUCAUUUUGAGUCCGAACAUGCAAGGGCACUUGUAGUAAGCAUCUGUGAACAUACUUAUUUUGCUCCAGGAGAGCAUGUUGCAAGAAGAAUAUUUAUUUUUAAUAUUUUUGUACUAUAUCGCACGAGCCGGAUAUUCUGUACCCAGUCAUGGCUUGCGUACUUACCCACCCCCAAAGCCCUCUUAGAAUGUGGAACGGUGCAAAGACGCCGAGGGGAAGUGAUGACCCCAAUAAAUCCACCAGGUGAAGCGAACUCUCCGGCCUCCUCCACCAGCCCACUCACUUCUUAGGAAGUUUACUGCAGCAGAGAAUCAACUUCAUUUUAUUGAAUUUUUUUUUUAUUAAUAUUAUUUUUUUUAAUGUGUAGUGUUACCAACUUUUCUUAGGGGAUGUAUGUUGUGUCAAGCAGAAUAAUGAAGAGAUCACUGUAUAUGUCCUAUGGCACUAUGUCCGUGAGGUGAGGAUGAGCGAAAAGGGAGCCUUAAAGAGUCACAGAACCCACAGAGAUUAAAAGGGGAUAUAAUGUAUAAAAUGAUGUUGAUAUUCAAGCUUAAGGUGAUUAUGAGAUGUCUUCAUCAUGUUCUGAAAGCUUCCAGAAAAAGUUGAUUUGCAGUAAAGUGCAGGAAAGGAUGAGGAAAGCAAUUUAAAAGCAACUUUUUUUUUCUCCCCCAGUAAGAAGGAAGUUAACAGUAAAGACCUCUCGUGAUCAUUCAACUAAUCACUUAUCUUUUUUCCCAUCCUUCAGUCCACAUUUUUAUCCAUGUUGUUGAGGAUGAUUUCAAGAGUCGUUUGGGACCAGAUGAUAAGCAAGCGUUGGCAGGGGAACCUAGAAAUAUUUUAAGAAUGGUUUGGAAAGUAUUCUUCUGGCCACCUUUCAUGCGGAUGGGAGAAUGAAAACUAGAAUUCCAUAUUUCUUUUUAUUCUUUUAUUUCAAUAUGUUGAAAUUGGAAUGUAUGUCUAGGCUUUAAGAAUACAAGACAAAGUCUUUUAAUUCAUAUGAAACAGACAUGCACAUUCACAUUCACACACACUCUCGUGACAUUUCAGCUUUUGUAAAGUCAAAAAAUAAUGCUAGUGAACUCCUAUUGCAUUACAUUCCAACUUUUAAACAGUUAUUAUGGAUUUUAUUACUACUACUUUUUCAAUAUACAAAACAUUACACAUACUUUUUUUUUUCUUCUUCUUCUUCUAAGUAUGGUUUAUAACUUCAGUCAAAGAAACUAAACCAUUUUUUUAAUUUUCUGAAAGUGUUGGUUUAAGGGUCCAGAGAUGCAUUGUAUGAGUUGACUUGUAUUUACGUUUUCAUGCAGUGGCAAAAGAAACCUUGCAUUUGGGAGAUGGAGCAAGAAAAGACCUCACAUGAAGUGGUAGAGAAAUGUAGAGGUAAAGCACUGUGCUUUAGAGCACAAAGAAGCUGUUCUUGUGCUUUCUGUGUUAGAAAUGUGGUCAGAGUUUAAAAAAAAAAAGACUGCAGUCAGAGGACAGAGCAAUUUAUGUAUUACUCUUGUAAGUAAAGGCAUGCAAGCCAGAAGCUGAGAAUUCUCCACUCCUCAGUGAAGGUGGCCAGACCGUCCUUUGUAAACACCACUGCCAUUUUAUCAUUGUUAUAUAUUUUUUUCCAUAAAGAGUGGCAUUACCAGUAUAUAGCUGUGUUGUGAUGUUUAUACUGAUAUCCAUUUUAUUUUUAUGAUAACCCUUUUUUUUCUUAAUCAUGUAAUAUACUUGUUAAUCUGUAGAAAACAAUAUUGAAGUACACAAUUUGAAUAUCAAGAGGCUAUGAGAACUGCUCAUUACUAAGGGUCUGGUAGAUGGACUAUGCGGGUUGACAAGAACCCUCCCACGAUCUGUCUUUCAUAACUAAUUUUCAUCAUGCAUAGACAUGGACUUAGUUUUUCCAUUCAUAUUGAAUAGCUUGUUUUUUUUUUACUACUACUACUUUAAAUAGAACUAGUAAUGUGACAUUAACUUUAGGAUUCUGAAAUACUGUACCGGGUGCGCACACUUCCUUGGCCAAAUGUGCGCACCAUGCAGCUGCCAGUAACUGUUAAUCCUGGAGUAAUAAUGUGAAACAAUAGCCAUAGUAACAGGGAUAAGAUCAGUCCAGUGUCCACUACCAAAUGAGUGCUUUAAAUAGAUUUUAUAACAAAUGAUCUCUGAUUGCUUAGAGUUAGAUAGUGUAUCAUUUAUGGAGAAUGUACAGACUUUAUUAAUAUAUUCCAUAAAAGCAAAAAAGCUCUCUUCACUUCUGGUGCUAUUGUUGCCAUAAAAUUAAAAAAAAAAAAGAAAGAGGUGUGACUGCAAAACUUUUCCCAUUUCCCCCUCCCCCUUUUUAAAAGAACAAUGGAUGAGAUACACUUUCAAGAGAUAUCAAAAUGUAAGAAGAGGAAAUGGCCUUUGGUUGCACAAAUGUUGAUUUGAGGAAACACGUUUAAUGCUGUUCCUCCCCAUUAGAUUUUAGAAAUAGAAGUAACGACCCGGGAAAUGGUCGUCAUUCCCUUUGUACAUAGGAAGACCUGGGCACAUGCAUAUUUUCUGAGGAUUUUGCCAACCCCAGUCUUAAAGCCUGAAUUCAUUAUAAUCACUUCUUUUAUAUAUAUAUAUAGCUUUAGUGAACAUUAACAAAAUGAGAAAAAAAGAAUGACUUGGAAAAAAAAAAAAGUUUGGUUUCUGUUUUGUUUUUUGUUUUUUGUUUUUUGUUUAGGAUUGGCCGUCAGCAUUUUGUUAUUGCCCUUUUAGGUAGUGAAAAGUCUACCUCAACUAUUAAGGUCCCUUUUUGUACAAGACGGGACGAGAGAAUAGGGUGGUGGCAUGACACCAUGUAUAUUUCAGUGACUACCUGUCUUUCAUUUGUAUUCAAAACUUUUUUUUUUUCCUUCACAACACAAUUGCCUAUGCAAUAUAAAAAGGACACCUGUGGAAGCAUCACAUUUCGUAUUCAAAGAGAUGAUUUUUUAUAUGCCAUUGCCAACCAAGUACACUGAAGACCUCAUAGCAGAGAAGUGUCAUUUGAUAUUUUAUGCCAUAGUACAAAGUAUUUUAUGAUGUAUUAGUUUUUACAAGGCUUUUUGCUAGUUGCCACGUCAGUUUUUGUGUUUGUAGGAGUAAGGCUUAAAGAGUUUUAUUGAUGUGUAUUCCAGUUUUUAUCUUUUUUUUUUUCUUGUAUGUGAUGUAUAUAUAUCUCUAUAUAUAUAUGCUUAAUGGUGUUGGCUCUUCUGUGUACAUAGCUCCAAGAUUUCUGUUUUACCCUAUGGAUUGAAAUAUAUAUAUAUAUAAAUACAAUAUACAUAUAGAAAUUAUCUAUAAUCUAUUAUAUUAAUGGCUUCCUUUCAUGUUACAAUGCCAUUGAGAUUUAUUGGUUACUUCAUAGUCUUUUAAUUAUCAGUUUUAAAAUGCAGAGUAUAUCAUACCAAUGGAUGUAAAUUACGAAAAAAAACAAGGAAAUCCAUAGGGUUAAUAAAUUCAUCUUUUUAUUUUAUUUUCCAUAGAAUAGCUGAACAUGUAAAGGGAUGACAUGGGUUGGUUAAUAUAACAUGUGAGGAUUUUUACGUGCAAGAUGUAAAUGUGGAUUUUACACAGCUUGGCCUUAGAGAGCAAAUUUGGCAUCAGGUCCGAAUUUGCUCUGAAGGUCUACUAAACCACUUUCAUGUUUACUUUUUUUUUCUGUUUUAACAUUCAUGUGACCCUUGCCCCAGAGUUAUCUUGACAUGUUCAAAGUUUUUGUACAGAUAAUGAUAGACUUCUGUGUGUAUAAGUCACCGCCUAUUGAUUUUAAGUAACAAUUUUAUAACUGACUUACUGUACUCUUCUCUAGACAUCGCUGUACUUGUCUGUCAUUAUGGUUUAGCGUAAUAGAUCGUGCAUGAAUGAAA
Molecule: RNA transcript, 7605 nt
Organism: Penaeus indicus
Lineage: Eukaryota; Metazoa; Arthropoda; Malacostraca; Decapoda; Penaeidae
Gene name: zinc finger protein 704-like
Exons: 9
Source: RefSeq, a predicted model, not a curated record